CGUAGGGUGCGAGCGUUAAUCGGAAUUACGUGGGCGUAAAGCGUGCGCAGGCGGUUUUGUAAGACAGGCGUGAAAUCCCCGGGCUCAACCGUGGGAACUGCGCUUGUGACUGCAAGGCUAGAGUACGGCAGAGGGGGUGGAAUUCCACGUGUAGCAGUGAAAUGCGUAGAGAUGUGGAGGAACACCAAUGGCGAAGGCAGCCCCCUGGGUCGAUACUGACGCUCAUGCACGAAAGCGUGGGUAGCAAACAGGAUUAGAUACCCUGGUAGUCCACGCCCUAAACGAUGUCAACUAGGUGUUGGGUGGGUAAAACCAUUUAGUACCGGAGCUAACGCGUGAAGUUGACCGCCUGGGGAGUACGGCCGCAAGGUUA
Molecule: ribosomal RNA, 373 nt
Filed under: uncultured organism
Description: bacterial SSU rRNA
Rfam family: Bacterial small subunit ribosomal RNA
Source: RNAcentral